GCCGGGCGUGGUGGCGGGCGUCUGUGGUCCCAGCUACUCGGGAGGCUGAGGCAGGAGAAUCGCUUGAACCCAGGAGAGGGAGGUUGCAGUGAGCUGAGAUCGCGCCACUGCAAUCCAGCCUGGGUGACAGAGCGAGACUCUGUCUCAA
Unclassified non-coding RNA from Papio anubis (olive baboon), 148 nucleotides. It matches the Rfam family "Metazoan signal recognition particle RNA". From Rfam's summary of the family: The signal recognition particle (SRP) is a universally conserved ribonucleoprotein. It is involved in the co-translational targeting of proteins to membranes. The eukaryotic SRP consists of a 300-nucleotide 7S RNA and six proteins: SRPs 72, 68, 54, 19, 14, and 9. The record is from Ensembl. Lineage: Eukaryota; Metazoa; Chordata; Mammalia; Primates; Cercopithecidae.